AGACGAACCGCACGAACGUUAUUCGGAAUCACUGGGCUUAAAGGGUGCGUAGGCGGCCAUGCAAGUCGGGUGUGAAAUCCCUCAGCUCAACUGAGGAAUGGCGCCCGAUACUGCAUGGCUCGAGGGAGGCAGAGGUGAGCGGAACUUGCGGUGGAGCGGUGAAAUGCGUUGAUAUCGCAAGGAACACCAGUAGCGAAAGCGGCUCACUGGGCCUCUUCUGACGCUGAGGCACGAAAGCUAGGGUAGCGAACAGGAUUAGAUACCCUGGUAGUCCUAGCUGUAAACGCUGAGCACUGGGUUGGAGGGUCCUCCAUAGCCUUCCAGUCGUAGCGAAAGUGUUAAGUGCUCCGCCUGGGGAGUAUGGUCGCAAGGCUGAA
This 377-nucleotide ribosomal RNA is filed under the name uncultured bacterium. RNAcentral describes it as "bacterial SSU rRNA". It matches the Rfam family "Bacterial small subunit ribosomal RNA", at positions 523 to 898 of the family's 1533-position model. The record is from RNAcentral.